This 584-nucleotide ribosomal RNA is filed under the name Dujonia oleophila. RNAcentral's name for it is "[Candida] oleophila partial large subunit ribosomal RNA". It matches the Rfam family "Eukaryotic large subunit ribosomal RNA", at positions 75 to 673 of the family's 3401-position model. The record is from RNAcentral. Lineage: Eukaryota; Fungi; Ascomycota; Pichiomycetes; Serinales; Debaryomycetaceae.
UUGCCUUAGUAACGGCGAGUGAAGCGGCAAAAGCUCAAAUUUGAAAUCUAGCACUUUCAGUGUUCGAGUUGUAAUUUGAAGAAGGUAACUUUGGAAUUGGCUCUUGUCUAUGUUCCUUGGAACAGGACGUCACAGAGGGUGAGAAUCCCGUGCGAUGAGAUGUCCAAUUCUAUGUAAAGUGCUUUCGAAGAGUCGAGUUGUUUGGGAAUGCAGCUCUAAGUGGGUGGUAAAUUCCAUCUAAAGCUAAAUAUUGGCGAGAGACCGAUAGCGAACAAGUACAGUGAUGGAAAGAUGAAAAGAACUUUGAAAAGAGAGUGAAAAAGUACGUGAAAUUGUUGAAAGGGAAGGGCUUGAGAUCAGACUUGGUAUUUUGUGUUCCUUAUUCUUUUUGGAUUUGGUUCCUCACAGCUUACCGGGCCAGCAUCGGUUUGGAUGGUAGGAUAAUGACAUUGGAAUGUAGCUUUGCUUCGGUGAAGUGUUAUAGACUUUGUUGAUACUGCCUAUCUAGACCGAGGACUGCGUCUUUGACUAGGAUGCUGGCGUAAUGAUCUUAAGCCGCCCGUCUUGAAACACGGAACCAGAAC